GAUGAACGCUGGCGGCGUGCUUAACACAUGCAAGUCGAACGGAAAGGCCCUGAUUUUGCGGGGUGCUCGAGUGGCGAACGGGUGAGUAACACGUGAGUAUACUGCCCUUGACUUUGGGAUAACUCCAGGAAAAUGGGGAUAAUAUCGGAUAGGAGCUCCUGCUGCAUGGGGGGGGUUGGAAAGUUUCGGCGGUUGGGGCUGGACUAGAGGCUUAUCAGCUUGUUGGUGGGGUAGUGGCUUACCAAGGCUUUGACGGGUAGCCGGCCUGAGAGGGUGACCGGCGACAAUGGGACUGAGAUACGGCGCAGUCUCCUACGUUACGCAGCAGUCGAGAAUAUUGCACAAUAGGCGGACGCCUGAUGCAGCGACGCCGCGUGCGGGAUGACGGCCUUCGGGUUGUAAACCGCUUUCUCCUGUAACGAAGCGUGAGUGACGGUAAUGGGUAAAGAAGCACCGGCUAACUACGUG
RNAcentral lists this ribosomal RNA (468 nucleotides) under uncultured bacterium. Its description in RNAcentral is "partial 16S ribosomal RNA". It matches the Rfam family "Bacterial small subunit ribosomal RNA", at positions 28 to 507 of the family's 1533-position model. The record is from RNAcentral.